CCCAGGCAUGUGCCCUUGACCGGAAUCGAACCUGGGACCCUUCAGUCCACAGGCCGACGCUUUAUCCACUGAGCCAAACCAGCUAGGGCUUAAAUCUCCCCUUUUAUGGCUUCUAGGUUUUGUGUCAGAAUUAGGACAUCCCAGUGAGAGGAUUUUGAAAGCACCUGGUGAUGAGGCAUGAAGGCCUGUAGCCAAGGCAGACUAGAAUAUGGAAGGAUUCAGUGAAAAAGGAUCACCAAGGGAGGAGGAGAAAGGAAAACAUGGAUGUGACAGCAGGAAACAGAUCAAGCUUGGGGAUCGAGCUUGAAACCUGGGCAUGUGCCCCAACCCAUGUGUGCCUGACUGGAAUUGAACCAGAUGUCGACAAGAUUUUGGGGAUGCUGAGGUAUGUGAAGCUUUCUGAGUUCUAAUGUCAGAGAAAGGCACUGUAGAGACAGAACGGAGAUAGCUGGGUCACGAGACCCCCUUCUCGCACUGUCCAGCCUUAGAAUUACC
Long non-coding RNA from Myotis lucifugus (little brown bat), 495 nucleotides. RefSeq lists it as uncharacterized. The transcript is spliced from 3 exons. Lineage: Eukaryota; Metazoa; Chordata; Mammalia; Chiroptera; Vespertilionidae. The record is from RefSeq and is a predicted model, not a curated record.